GUCUAUGACUGGACCACCCUGAAUGUGCCUGAUCUCAGAAGCUUAGCAGGGUUGGCCUGGUCAGUUCUCAGUUGGGAGACUGCCCAGGAGACCAGGUGCUAUCGGCU
Molecule: ribosomal RNA, 107 nt
Filed under: Aotus nancymaae (Ma's night monkey)
Lineage: Eukaryota; Metazoa; Chordata; Mammalia; Primates; Aotidae
Source: RNAcentral